GUGGUGGUGGUGGUGGCAGUGACCCUGGAGAGGCCCCCACACGUGCUGCUCCUGGGGAACUUCGCUCUGCACGGGGCCCACUCAGCUCUGCACCAGAGAUUGUGCACGAGGACUUGAAGAUGGGGUCUGAUGGGGAGAGUGACCAGGCUUCAGCCACAUCCUCGGAUGAGGUGCAGUCUCCAGUGAGAGUACGCAUGCGCAACCAUCCCCCACGCAAGAUCUCCACUGAGGACAUCAACAAGCGCCUAUCGCUACCAGCUGACAUCCGGCUACCUGAGGGCUACCUUGAGAAGCUGACCCUCAAUAGCCCCAUCUUUGACAAGCCACUCAGCCGCCGCC
Molecule: long non-coding RNA, 339 nt
Organism: Cebus imitator (Panamanian white-faced capuchin)
Lineage: Eukaryota; Metazoa; Chordata; Mammalia; Primates; Cebidae
Exons: 3
Source: RefSeq, a predicted model, not a curated record